CUGACCAUUACUUAUUAUUUACAGGGAAUUCCUUCAGUUCAACUGGAAAUGUUCUCAGGAAAUUUUCUUAUCAGCGAGAAAAAACCCCCACAAGACUAGAGGUGUUGCACUGUGCUCCAAAAUGUUAUCUGGGUAGACCAGAUCAGGCAAACAACCUGGACGACUUGAGAAAAGCAAGGUGAUGUUCUGUUGACUUCAUCAGAAGAAAAAGAUAUUCAGUGUUUUACAGGUUAAACAGUGAAAUGCACGGGGAGGUCAUGAGACUGGGUGGGCUCUGAUGCUGCCAAUACCUUAUUGAUGCAUCUUAUUGAUUCAGGCUACAUUCUGUAGUAAGAGAAUAAAAAAGAUAUAACACAGAAA
Long non-coding RNA from Pseudopipra pipra, 360 nucleotides. RefSeq lists it as uncharacterized. The transcript has 2 exons. Lineage: Eukaryota; Metazoa; Chordata; Aves; Passeriformes; Pipridae. The record is from RefSeq and is a predicted model, not a curated record.